UAAUAAGUGUUUAUGGCACUUCUUAAAUCCAUAUCCACCUUGUGUGCAAUGUCAGCCGUUUUCUUUAUGAAAGCGGCCAAACAUCAACUUAUUUUUUAAACUGUCCGUCUGAAAACUAUUAUGAAUAAACAAUUCAAAUA
RNAcentral lists this unclassified non-coding RNA (140 nucleotides) under soil metagenome. RNAcentral's name for it is "partial internal transcribed spacer 1". The record is from RNAcentral.